RNAcentral lists this ribosomal RNA (301 nucleotides) under uncultured bacterium. RNAcentral describes it as "partial 16S ribosomal RNA". It matches the Rfam family "Bacterial small subunit ribosomal RNA", at positions 509 to 807 of the family's 1533-position model. The record is from RNAcentral.
CAGUCGCCGCGGUAAUACGUAGGUGGCAAGCGUUGUCCGGAUUUAUUGGGCGUAAAGCGAGCGCAGGCGGUCAAUUAAGUCUGAUGUGAAAGCCCCCGGCUCAACCGGGGAGGGUCAUUGGAAACUGGUUGACUUGAGUGCAGAAGAGGAGAGUGGAAUUCCAUGUGUAGCGGUGAAAUGCGUAGAUAUAUGGAGGAACACCAGUGGCGAAGGCGACUCUCUGGUCUGUAACUGACGCUGAGGCUCGAAAGCGUGGGUAGCAAACAGGAUUAGAUACCCCUGUAGUCCCUGUCUCUUAUAC